RNA transcript from Prionailurus viverrinus (fishing cat), 3781 nucleotides. It is a transcript of the gene named mucolipin TRP cation channel 1, with no coding region annotated. The record is from RefSeq and is a predicted model, not a curated record. The transcript has 13 exons. Lineage: Eukaryota; Metazoa; Chordata; Mammalia; Carnivora; Felidae.
GGGAGCGAGGCCGCAGUGGCAGCGGCGGGCGCUCGGACCCCGGCUGCCCCGCCGCGCCCGCCGGCGUCCGGCGCUCCCCGUCCCGGCAUGGCAGCCCCCGUGGGCCGGCGCGGCUCAGAAAGAAAAGAAAAGAAAGAAAAAUCUGGAAUGUAGCUGAGCUCCACGCUCCCACCUGGGGGCUGGAGUUGAUAUAAGCCCUGGAGGCUUGAGUGACCUGUGAGAAGCCAGUGGAAGCCAUUCGUGCUUUCCCCACAAACCGACAACUGGAACGAGGAUGGGAUAUUCGGACACUCUUACCACGCACCAGCCCCUGUGGUCGAUGCUUUGUGAGCAUCAGACCUUCAGCUUCCCGGUGAGAGAGAUUACUGCCCCAUUUUGCAGAGGAGGAAGCUGAGGCUCAGAGGCCGGGUGCCCUGCCCCAGCCAGUGAGCAACAGGGUCACGCAUCAGCUCAGGCCCUUUUGAGCCCCAAAUCGGAAUUGGUAGCCUCUGAGCACUAUUGCUGUGUGUAUCCAUAAAACGUUGCGGUUUCUGGGAUUUCUUCGAUGGGAGUUAUUUUCUUGGCUGGAGCAGGGGACCCGUCUCCCCUGUUGCCAGGUGGUCCCCACUGCCCUCUCCCUUUCCCUCAGAGACGGAGCGCCUCCUGACACCCAGUCCUGGGUAUGGCACCCGGGCCGGGGCUUCCCCGGUCCCUCCGGAAGAGGAGGACCUGCGUCGCCGCCUCAAAUAUUUUUUCAUGAGUCCCUGUGACAAAUUCCGGGCCAAGGGUCGCAAGCCCUUCAAGCUGAUGCUGCAAGUCGUGAAGAUCUUGGUGGUCACUGUGCAGCUCAUCCUGUUCGGGCUCAGCAACCAGCUGGCAGUGACCUUCCGGGAAGAGAACACCAUUGCCUUCCGGCACCUCUUCCUCCUGGGCUACUCUGAUGGGGCGGAUGAUACCUUCGCAGCCUACACGCGGGAGCAGCUCUACCAGGCCAUCUUCCACACCGUGGACCAGUACCUGAUGCUCCCCGAUGUGUCGCUGGGCCGGUAUGCCUACGUGCGGGGCGGAGGUGGCCCCUGGGCCAAUGGCUCGGCCCUGGCCCUCUGCCAGCACUACUACCACCGCGGCCACGUGGACCCGGCCAACGACACCUUUGACAUUGAUCCGCUGGUUGUCACUGACUGCAUCCGGGUGGACCCCCCUGAGAGACCCCUUGUGCCCCCCAGUGAUGAUCUCUCCCUCUCGGACGGCAGCGCCAGUUACAAGAACCUCACGCUCAAAUUCCACAAGCUGAUCAACGUCACCAUCCACUUCCAGCUGAAGACCAUCAACCUCCAGAGCCUGAUCAACAAUGAAAUUCCAGACUGCUACACCUUCAGUGUCCUGAUCACUUUUGACAAUAAGGCGCACAGCGGCCGUAUCCCCAUCAGCCUGGAGACCCAGGCCCACAUCCAGGAGUGUAAGCACCCCAGCGUCUUCAGGCACGGAGACAACAGCUUCCGGCUCCUGUUUGACGUGGUCGUGAUCCUCACCUGCUCCUUCUCCUUCCUGCUGUGUGCCCGCUCGCUGCUCCGUGGCUUUCUGCUGCAGAACGAGUUUGUUGGGUUCAUGUGGCGGCAGCGGGGACGGGUCAUCAGCCUGUGGGAGCGGCUGGAAUUUGUCAACGGCUGGUACAUCCUGCUGGUCACCAGCGAUGUGCUCACUAUCUCGGGUACCGUCAUGAAGAUUGGCAUCGAAGCCAAGAACCUGGCGAGCUACGAUGUCUGCAGCAUCCUCCUGGGAACUUCCACCUUGCUCGUCUGGGUCGGCGUCAUCCGCUAUCUGACCUUCUUCCAUAAGUACAACAUUCUCAUUGCCACGCUGCGGGUGGCCCUGCCCAGCGUCAUGCGUUUCUGCUGCUGUGUGGCUGUCAUCUACUUGGGCUAUUGCUUCUGUGGCUGGAUCGUGUUGGGGCCCUACCACGUGAAGUUUCGCUCGCUGUCCAUGGUGUCCGAGUGCCUGUUCUCGCUCAUCAACGGGGACGACAUGUUCGUGACGUUCGCCGCGAUGCAGGCCCAGCAGGGCCGCAGCAGCCUCGUCUGGCUGUUCUCCCAGCUCUACCUCUACUCCUUCAUCAGCCUCUUCAUCUACAUGGUGCUGAGCCUUUUCAUCGCGCUCAUCACUGGUGCCUACGACACCAUCAAGGUCAGCGCCGGCCCCCACGCCCUCCCCCCAGCCUGCCUCCAGCGGGGCCAGCCCUCACAUACUCACAGCCGUGUACCUGGGGCUCCAGGUCCCCUUAGUAGGGUCUCAGGGCACAUGAGGCAGGGUGAGGAGGGAAGGGUCCAGGGGGAGAAGGUGGGAGACUCUGAGAAGCCAGAGAGAGGUGACUGGGGUGGUGGUGCCGAUCGCAGCCGCCAGUCUUGGUUUCAUCCGCGUGGGGUUCUGGCCAGGUAAGGUUUCCUGAGUCUGCUUUUACCAAGCGAGAGACCAGGCUGUAGAGUUUUAGUGACUUGCCUGAGGUCAGCUGCUAAGCGGCCAGGCUCAACCCAGGACUGAGGGAUUCCGGAAGGCCCCGCUCCUAAUUCUUCUGUAGGGUGGUCUGGGCAGGAGCUCUUUAAGUCCAGGGAGUGGCGGUCCUGCAGGUUGCGGGGGUCAGAGGAAAGGGGUCGGAGUAGAAUGUGGGGGUGGCAGGUGGGCCAGACCCUGUGCUGGGUGGGUAUCUAGGAAACGCAGUGUAUACAGAUUAGUCUGGACCAGUGGGCAGGGUGGUGACCAGCUGGUGAAAGGGAUGAAGGCUACAGAGGGUCCCCUGGUCUAGACUGGUACUGGGGUGAGUCUGGGAAAGUUUCUAGAAUGUGCUGUCUAAUACUAAUCUUAGCCACCUGUGACUACUUAAAUUUUGACUUGAAUCAAAGUGAAUUCCACACUAAGUUCCUCACUCACAUCUUUCGAGUGUCAAAUGCCCGAAAGCCAGUAUGGCUGGUGACGACCAGGUUGGUCGGCACAGAUAGCAAACCUUGCCAUCAUCUCAGAAACUUCUGGAUUGACGAGAUGCGAGUUGAAGAGAGAGAGCACCUGGGAGAAGGAACAGCCAGAGCAAAGGCCCAGUAGCCAGAAAGGACUUGGGGAAGAGAUGCUGAUUCCUCUACCAGGUUGGGAGGGGGUGAAGGCUCUGCUGAAAGCAGAUGUGCACCCCCCCCCCACUUGCAAACAUGGAUAAACCAUCCCACAGACACACUCUGUCACCCAGGCCCGAGGAGCCCCUGUGGAGCUUGCUCUAGCGCCUCAACGUCACACGUGUGUAUCAGCUUGGGACGUACAAGCCCAGACCUUGAUCCCGCUGUGUGCACCCAACUCAGUAGUUGCGUGUCAAGCACCCAGAUUGUGUUACGUGUGGUUCUGGGUGCUGGAGCACAGCAGAGGGCACCAACUGACUGAGAUGCGGGGGCACAUAUUCGGGAGGCCAGGGAAGGUCUCGGGGGGAAGCACACCAUGAGGAAGGACAGGUGCAGGGGACAGUGAAUACAGAGUGAGUGCAAAGGGGUGGGGGUGGGGGGAGGCGGGGAAGCUUGGCUGGUGGAAGGAACCAGGAGGAGAUCCAGUUGGCUGGCCGGCGAGGUGGUGGUGGGGAGGCCAGACAUCAAAGGGGCCACCCCGCGUUUCCCCACAGCACCCCGGAGGUGCUGGCGCGGAGGAGAGCGAGCUCCAGGCCUACAUCGCGCAGUGCCAGGACAGCCCCACCUCCGGCAAGUUCCGUCGAGGGAGCGGCUCGGCCUGCAGCCUCCUCUGCUGCUGCAGCAGGGACGCCUCGGAGGAGCAU